GGCGUGCGCGUGCUAUACAUGCAGUCGAGCGAAUGGAUUAAGAGCUUGCUCUUAUGAAGUUAGCGGCGGACGGGUGAGUAACACGUGGGUAACCUGCCCAUAAGACUGGGAUAACUCCGGGAAACCGGGGCUAAUACCGGAUAACAUUUUGAACCGCAUGGUUCGAAAUUGAAAGGCGGCUUCGGCUGUCACUUAUGGAUGGACCCGCGUCGCAUUAGCUAGUUGGUGAGGUAACGGCUCACCAAGGCAACGAUGCGUAGCCGACCUGAGAGGGUGAUCGGCCACACUGGGACUGAGACACGGCCCAGACUCCUACGGGAGGCAGCAGUAGGGAAUCUUCCGCAAUGGACGAAAGUCUGACGGAGCAACGCCGCGUGAGUGAUGAAGGCUUUCGGGUCGUAAAACUCUGUUGUUAGGGAAGAACAAGUGCUAGUUGAAUAAGCUGGCACCUUGACGGUACCUAACCAGAAAGCCACGGCUAACUACGUGCCAGCAGCCGCGGUAAUACGUAGGUGGCAAGCGUUAUCCGGAAUUAUUGGGCGUAAAGCGCGCGCAGGUGGUUUCUUAAGUCUGAUGUGAAAGCCCACGGCUCAACCGUGGAGGGUCAUUGGAAACUGGGAGACUUGAGUGCAGAAGAGGAAAGUGGAAUUCCAUGUGUAGCGGUGAAAUGCGUAGAGAUAUGGAGGAACACCAGUGGCGAAGGCGACUUUCUGGUCUGUAACUGACACUGAGGCGCGAAAGCGUGGGGAGCAAACAGGAUUAGAUAC
This 767-nucleotide ribosomal RNA is filed under the name Bacillus cereus. RNAcentral's name for it is "bacterial SSU rRNA". It matches the Rfam family "Bacterial small subunit ribosomal RNA", at positions 41 to 785 of the family's 1533-position model. Lineage: Bacteria; Bacillati; Bacillota; Bacilli; Caryophanales; Bacillaceae. The record is from RNAcentral.